GAUGAACGCUAGCGAUAGGCCUAACACAUGCAAGUCGAGGGGCAUCACAUGAAGUAGCAAUACGGAUGGUGGCGACCGGCGCACGGGUGAGUAACACGUAUGCAACCUGCCUUCAACAAGGGGAUAACCCGUUGAAAGACGGACUAAUACCCUAUAACACAGGGGUCCCGCAUGGGAAUAUUUGUUAAAGGACAACCGGUUGAAGAUGGGCAUGCGUUCCAUUAGCUAGUUGGCGGGGUAACGGCCCACCAAGGCAACGAUGGAUAGGGGAACUGAGAGGUUUAUCCCCCACACUGGUACUGAGACACGGACCAGACUCCUACGGGAGGCAGCAGUGAGGAAUAUUGGUCAAUGGACGCAAGUCUGAACCAGCCACGUCGCGUGAAGGAAGACGGCCCUACGGGUUGUAAACUUCUUUUAUACGGGGAAUAAAGUGCCCCACGCGUGGGUUUUGCAUGUACCGUAUGAAUAAGGAUCGGCUAACUCCGUGCCAGCAGCCGCGGUAAGUACGCAGCGA
RNAcentral lists this ribosomal RNA (517 nucleotides) under uncultured bacterium. RNAcentral describes it as "bacterial SSU rRNA". It matches the Rfam family "Bacterial small subunit ribosomal RNA", at positions 28 to 532 of the family's 1533-position model. The record is from RNAcentral.